RNAcentral lists this transfer RNA (75 nucleotides) under Catellatospora coxensis. RNAcentral's name for it is "tRNA-Ser". Lineage: Bacteria; Bacillati; Actinomycetota; Actinomycetes; Micromonosporales; Micromonosporaceae. The record is from RNAcentral.
GGCGCGGUGGUGGCGUUCGAGACCGCGCUGCGGUUCGAGGCCGCCGGGCAUCCGGUGCGGGCCCUGGUCGCCUCG